AUUCCAGCUCCAAUAACGUAUAUUAAAGUUGUUGUGGUUAAAAAGCUCGUAGUUGCAUUUCUGCCGAGGACGACCAGUCCGCCCUCUGGGUGAGCAUCUGGCUCGGCCUGGGCAUCCUCUUGGAGAACGUAGCUGCACUUGAGUGUGUGGGGCGGUAUCCAAGACUUUUACCUUGAGGCAACUAGAGUGCUUCAGGCAGGCAUACGCCUUGAAUACAUCAGCACAGAACAAUAAGAUAGGACCUCGGUUCUAUUUUGUUGGUCUCUAGAGCUGAGGUAAUGAUUAAUAGAGAUAGUUGGGGGCAUUCGUAUUUGACUGUCAGAGGUGAAAUUCUUGGAUUUGUUAAAGACGGACUGCUGCGAAAGCAUUUGUAUAGGAUGUUUUCAUCG
RNAcentral lists this ribosomal RNA (389 nucleotides) under Gymnodiniales sp. RNAcentral's name for it is "partial small subunit ribosomal RNA". It matches the Rfam family "Eukaryotic small subunit ribosomal RNA", at positions 582 to 975 of the family's 1831-position model. Lineage: Eukaryota; Dinophyceae; Gymnodiniales. The record is from RNAcentral.